RNAcentral lists this long non-coding RNA (32750 nucleotides) under Coffea arabica (coffee). Its description in RNAcentral is "long non-coding RNA (CARA_LNC005140)". The record is from RNAcentral. Lineage: Eukaryota; Viridiplantae; Streptophyta; Magnoliopsida; Gentianales; Rubiaceae.
CCCAACACAACCACCUUGUCACCGGCCAUAUUUUCAGAUGAUAUUCGAGCAAAGCAAAAAAAAAAAAAAGAAAGGAUUUUUUCGCUAGAGGUUAUGGGCAAUAGUACCAGUUUGUUAGCAACUAGCAGGUAUAAGAACCGGGGUCUUGCAUUUUAUAGUGAAUGAGAGGCUGGUGAUGGCAGCAUGAAGGAAUAAUGGUUGGUAAGUGGUAGAUUGUACCAGGACACUUGGGUCCUCUGCCAUUCAGCAAUUUAGGCCACAAGUCAAAAUGCAGGUUUUUUUUUUUCAAGCAGUAGGGAUAGGAUUCAAAGGUAAGGGAAGGAAGGUUAGAACCAGAAUUUUUAAAUCUUGAGAAAAUGAAGGGUCUCUUUUUCAUGUGUUAUUAAUUAGAUCUUUUUUGACUCUUUAAUUUUUUCUUUUUUAUUCUUGAAAGCCACUUUAGGAAUUUACAACCUAUAUUAGCACGUUUUUGGUUUGAUAUAUGCUCAAAUUUUUAGCAUGUAACUUAAUUUACUUUAUAAUAGUUUGAAUACAAAAUUAACUUUCCUUUCUCAGGUACUCACUAGAAAUUGAUAGAAAGUUCACGAGAUGCAUAAUAUGUGCAUAAUUGCUGUUUACUCACAAUUUUGUGGCCUCCCACCAAUUGCUACUUUUAAAUCCAGUAAGUACUUAUCGCAUUCGUGUGAUUUAAUGGUUAUUCAGCUUUCCUCGAUUUCUAGAAUUCGAUUGCUCCUGUACCCCUUUUCCCCCAUAGUCGAUGUAUGACCAAAGAAAAAAAAAGUUGCGACAUUGUCUCUACGACCAAAUAUUAAAACCUUUUUGGCUUGUUAUUUUUAAAUUUCUCUAAAUUUGAAUAAAUAUUUCGAGAUAAAUACAAUGCCAUUUGACUGCCGUCCCCAAUCAAAUCAAAGGUGGUAGAGGAUUGUAGAACUCAACAAAUAAAUAUUAUUUAUUUGUGCUAGAAUAUUCGUUGUCUAGAACUUGUUCUAGGAUGCUUGUCUUGCUUUCCUGUUCCUAAUCACACAAAAUUACGCGACAAUUUUUGUAGUCACAAUUCCGCCAUUAUCUUCUCCAUUUCUUGUUCCAUUAAACUGCUAAAUAUUAAAACACUAACUAAGAAAUUAAGGAACAAAAACUUGCGUCCACGGAAAAGGUUAUGGUCUCUUUUUCUUGAUUGUCUACUUGGUGGCUGCUGCGGCUGGUCCCUAAUUAUUAGGUUCCCAAGUUUUUAGCUAAGUGCUUACGCAGAGUCUUAAGGAAUUUGACGUCACUCCUUAAGUAAUCACAUUCAAGCUUUUGUCUUUCCCUCUCUCUCGCUCCUUUUUCUGUUCCUGGUUUGCACAUUAUUUAAGUUCAAUAAGAAAAAAAUAUGAACAUAGACAAUUCAACUAAACCACGAAAACAAGAAAAGAGUACCCCACCACAUCUUAUGUCUAAAUUGGUCCGGACAAUGGGUACUAGAAUUAAUUUUUUUUAUAUACUGCCAGUAUAUAAUUGUUUAUACAUCAACAAAUUUACAUCAUAUCACAUUAUAUAAAUUUAAAUUUAAAUUUACACUGUUAGCAUGUAAAAAAUUAAUUCUAUAUAUGCUCAAAAGCCAUUAUUUACCUCUAGCUCUAUCCCUUCUAUAGGGACAAAAGUAACUCGAUUGUAAAGGUCAAAAUUAUGAUAAUGUAUCAAAAGGUUGAGUUAUGUAUAUAUUUUAAAAAUCAUAAGGGGAUUAUAUGGUAAAACACUAAAUUAUAAGAGAGAUGUAUGGUAAAACAUAAAUCGUACAGGAUUAAAAUAUCAUGCAUAUUAUGUAUAUAUAUUUUAGUUAUUUCAACCACUUUAGUUUCUAAAUAAGGGUAUGAUAGGUCACAAUUUUGUUAUCUAUUUUAUAAUUAAUUUCCUCCUAUUACCUUAUCGAAUGUGCAUUAAUUAGCAGAUUUUAUUCAUUUUUGGCAUUUGUGCUUAUUGCAGAGAGUUGGAACAAAAUAUCAUAAAAAAGUGCAAAUUUGUCAAGUUGUACACCUUCGGGUUAGUCAAAUUAAUUUUGACGAUAGCCAGCAUAAGAGUUGGAGUAGUAAAAGGAAACAAGAGUCCAAACGGAGAUGGUAUUCCUUAUCCAGUGAUCAACUGCGCUAGACGAGGAGCAAUUUUGGGGGACUCUCCUUUUUCUUCUUUUGGUAGUUUUCAAAAGAGGAGGGAGGUUAACAGAGACAAGGAGUCUUCCCUUUUAUUCCCCUUAGUAGCCGGAUAGGAAGGAAAAUUAUGUAGGAAGAGGCGGUCCGACAGCUUUGAUUUUUCUUUCUUUUGUUUUCGUACUUUGUCGGCUAGUUCUUCUGGGGGGGUUGACUAUUCAUUGUUUUUGGGGGACUAUUCCAUCAUUUUUUCAUUAUAUUCAAUUGGAGGAAAAAUGCCUUCACCAUUUACUUCGGCAAUUUUCCAUAGGAUCCCCUCGACAGAGAUGAACUAAACUUUUAUUUCUAGUCAAGGAACAACGGAGGAUUUGGUUCAGGUUAAAUUGUGAGAUCUAACUGAUUUUACUUUUUCCUAUUAUUUUCUAGUAUUCGUAUAUUUCAUAUUUUAUUUUUUUAUGGUUAUUGUAUUAUUCAAGUAUCAUGGGUCCAGAUGUUAGAUUAAUUCAAUAACCUAAAGCCAAUUAGAGUAAUUAAAUCUAUAAUUGUUUAAUUAUUCUAAAUUAGUGGUAACUGAUAUAAUCGGGAUUAUAUCAGGGAAAUAUACGGGCUAAUUUGUAAACAACCAUCGUAGCGUGUUGUUUAUGUAGAACAGGAUUUUUCUAAAUCUUAAAGCAAUUGCAAAAUUGAAUUUUACAGUCGUACCUAGGGUUAUUUUGCAAUUAGGACAAUAACUAACGGUCUUACAUUAACUAUCGAUAAUUAAGGAGAAAUUGAUUGUCAUCACUUGUUUGACAAUUAUAACUUGUUUAUCAGUUUAUAUAUGGAACUAUUCUUGCAUCGAUGAUCAAUUAGGAGAACCAUUUCCGAAAUUGCUUCUUGACUAGAGUUUGUCAAAAACUAUUUGAGUUUUUGCAAUUUGCCAUCUAAUUUUUAUUUAAUUGCAAUAUUCGAUUAGCAUAACUUAUUGUUAAUUUCUAUAAAAAAAAAAAAAAACCCCCCCAUUGUUUGUUUGAACUUCAAAAGAGGCAAAUAUCCCCAAUCCCUAUGAAUUCAACCCUACUUAUCACUAUCUAUAGAAAUUAUAUUUUGUUUGAGCAGGCAUUUAUUAUUGCACAGGCUCGACAAUCUGUCAAUUUUUGGCGCCGUUGCCGGGACUGGUGUUAGGUAAAUUUGUUUCUUUUUAAGUUCAUUUUCGUUUUAAUUUUCUGGUACUUUUCUAGUUUAUACUUUGUUCUUCUCGUACAGGUGAAUUAAUUUUCGAUCCUAAAAUAGAGAAAACUGCACGCCGAACAUGAAAAGAGACCAGACAGCUCAGAGAAGAGCAAUCUAGUGCUGCAUCUCAAAGACUUGAUCCAGAAGUUGAAGCAACAAAUUCGUUUGGUGAUACUUCGAGUGACUCGGAUCAAGAAGAAGUCACUAUGGCUAAUGCACGAACACUAAGGGUAUUGGCUGCUCCUAAUUUAAAUCAGCAGCCCUUAUGCAUUACUUUUCCGAAUUUAAAUGAUAAUACUCAGUUUGAGUUAAAAUCUGGUCUAAUCCAUCUUUUGUCAUCUUUUCAUGAUUUAUCAGGUAAGAAGCCUCAUAAGCACUUGCAAGAGUUUGAUGUUGUUUGCAACAUUAUGAAACCUUCAAAAAUCACGGAAGAACAAAUAAAAAUGAGAACAUUCCCUUUCUCUCUUAAGGAUUCAGCAAAAGACUAGUUGUACUACUAUCUCCAGGUAGUAUCACCACUUGGGAGUAGCUGAAGAAAAAAUUCCUGGAAUAGUAUUUUCCUGUAUCUCGAACUGCAAGUCUGAGGAAGGAAAUAUGCAGUAUCAAGCAACAUUCAGGAGAGUCGCUCAAUGAUUACUGAGAGAGAUUCAAGAAGUUAUGUAUCAAAUUCCCUCAACAUCAAAUAAGUGUGCAGCUGCUCAUUCAGUACUUUUACGAUGGGCUACUUUUCAAAGACAAGAAUAUUAUUGAUGCUGCAAGUGGAGGGGCGUUGGCGAACAAGACUCCUCAAGAAGCGUAGUUGUUAAUUGAAGGAAUGGCCGAGAACUCAUAAUAGUUCGGUAUAAGGAAGGAUAUCUUGAUACGCAAAGUGAAUGAGAUAAAAACAUCCUCUAUCCAACAGCAGUUAUCCGACUUAACAUCUUUUGUUAUACAAUUGGCUAUAGAAAAUGCACCACAAGCCAAGAUGUAUGGAAUUUGCACUGCCAUGGGUCGUUCUACAGAGAUGUGAUUCAAGAAAAGAGUGCGAAGAAAGUAAACAUAGCUGGUCAUACGCCUGCGCCAAGAAUGGCAUAUGAUUCGUACCCUAACAUGUACAAUCCGGGUUAGAGAGAUCACCAUAACCUCAAUGAUGGGGGAAAUAGACAAUCAAAUUUUGCACUGAAUAUACAGCAAGGGUAUCAACAGUAAUACCAACCUCGACAGCCACCACUUCCUCCUAGUUCAGGCCCGUCUUUGAAAGAAAUGAUGAAACAAUUAAUUACUAGUCAACAAAAGAUGAAAUCUGACCUAUAAAAUAUAAGGAAUCAAAUGGGUUAUAUGUAAGCGAUGCAGAGUCAGAGUAGUCAGAUGGCAAUAUCAAUCAACCGUCUGAAGUCCCAAGUUCACGAAAAAUUGCCGUCUCAACCUGAAUUGAACCUGAAGAACGUAAGUGCAAUGACCUUAAGGAGUGGAAAGAAAAUUCAGGGAUUCGAACUCGUGACUCCAAAGGACAAGGAUGAAGAAAAGAUCGAGAAAGAACUUGAGGCAGAGGACAUAAAUGGCAUAAAUCCAGUGGUACUCCUUAACCCAAUCAUUGAACCUAAAGCUAAUCCGCUUCCCUUUCCUAGUAGGUUGGAGAAACCAAAGAAUCAGGACAAGGAGAAAGAGAUCUUGGACGUAUUCCGCAAAGUAGAGAUCAACAUUCCUCUGUUAGAUGCAACCAAACAAGUGUCGAAGUAUACAAAAUUUUUGAAGGAUUUGUGCAUCAACCGAAGAAGAUUGAGAGGAGACGAAAGAGUUAUUGUGGGGGAGAACGUGUCAGCAGUUCUACAGAGGAAACUUCCACCGAAGUGCGGAGAUCCAAGUAUGUUCAUUAUCCCCUGUAAAAUAGGUAAUACUUUGAUUAUAAAUGUCAUGUUGGACCUAGGAACAUCAGUAAUGUCUAAAUCUAUCUAUACUUCUUUGAACUUAGGUCCGUUAAAAGAAACUAGGAUAAUAAUCCAAUUAGCUGAUCGAACGAAUGCUUAUCCUGAUAGGUUGGUCGAUGAUGUGUUGGUUAAAAUUCCUAACUGAUUUUUAUGUACUUAACAUAAAUAAUGAUCAUUCCCCCGACCCCUUACCUUUGCUAUUAGGUAGACUCUUUUUGUUUACAAUCCAAAAUAAAUUGAUGUUAAUAAGGGUACCUUAUCCAUGAAAUUUGAUGAAAAAAUUAUUCAUUUCAAUACCAUUGAGAUCAUGAAAUACCCCUCGAACUCUAAUUUUAACUCUGUUUUUUCUAUGAGUGCUAUUGACUCAGCGGCGCAGGAAGUGUUUGAAAUUAUUGGCAGGGAUGAGUUAGAAGUUGUUUUAACCAAGUACCUCGAGUUAAACACAACUCAUGAGGAAGAAUUGAGUAAAGAUCUGAAAAAUACAAUUGGAGCGUUGCAAUCGUUGCCAGUCAAGACGACAAGGUAUGAGCUCGCACUUAUUUUCGUGCCCAAAUCUCACCAAAGGGUAUUACCGUCUGUGGUACAGGCACCUGUGUUUGAAUUAAAAUCUCUGCCAAAGCACUUGAAAUACGCUUACUUGGGCAAGAAGGAAAUGCUUCCAUUGAUUAUCUCGACGCGACUGUUGGAAAUCCAAGAAGAAAAACUAAUCCAAAUUCUUAGAAAUCACAAGCAAACAAUAGGAUGGACUAUCACCGACAUUAAGGGCAUCAGCCUCUCUGUAUGUAUGCACCGAAUAAGGUUCGAAGAAGAUGCCAAAUCUAUGCGGCAAGUUCAAAGGAUGCUCAAUCCCCUUAUGAUGGAAGUCAUGAAGAACGAAAUACUAAAACUGCUGGAUGUGGGGAUCAUAUAUGCAAUAUCAGACAGCCCAUGGAUGAGCUCGGUACAGGUAGUUUCAAAGAAAGCAGGAGUGACAGUGGAGGCCAACCAGAAGGGUGAACUCAUGCCAAUACACAAAUCCACUGGAUAGCGGCAGUGUAUAGACUACCGGAAAUUAAACGUUAUCAUGAAAAAAGACCAUUUUUCACCUCUUUUUAUUGACCAAAUGAUUGAACGAUUAGUUUGUUGAAUUUACUAUUGUUUUUUAAAUGGGUUUUUAGGGUAUUUUCAAAUUGCAAUCGCACUGGAAGAUCAAGAGAAAACCACCUUCACGUGCCCGUUUGAAACUUUCGUAUACAGGCAAACGCCUUUCGGAUUGUGCAAUGUCCCUGCAACAUUUCAGAGAUGUAUGGUGAGCAUUUUUUCAGAAUAUGUUAAGAAAAUUAUUGAGAUUUUCAUGAACGAUUUUAGUAUAUAUGGUGAUAGUUUUGAUAAUUGUCUAGAUAACCUGAAAUUGAUCUUCUUGAGAUGUAUAUAAACUAAUCUCGUGUUUAAUUGAAAAAAUGUCUUUUUAUAGUUGAGUAUGGGAUAGUUCAAGGUCACGUAGUGUCCUCUAAGGGUAUUGAAAUUGAUUAAGUUAAAAUAGACAUUAUAUCUGCCUUACCUUACCCCGCGAGUGUGCGGGAAGUGUAUUUUUUUCUUGAACAUGUAGGUUUCUACCAAAGGUUCAUAAGGAUUUCUCGAAGACUGGAGCUUCUCUGUUCAAACUCUUAUAAAAAGAUGUGGCCUUUGAGUUCAAUGUCGAGUGUAAGAGAGCAUUCAAGAAGUUAAAGGAGCUGUUAACAUCGUCACUGAUCAUCCAACCUCUUGACUGGAAUCUCUUAUUUGAGAUCAUGUAUGAUGCUAGUGAUUAUGCAGUGCGAGUAGUGUUAGGACAGAGAAUAGGAAAAGCAACUCACGUCAUCUACUACACGUCUGGAACCUUGAGUAGAGGUCAAUUGAAUUACUCCACUACUGAGAAGGAAGUUUUAACAGUUAUUUUUGCUUUAGAAAAAUUCAGGUCAUAUUUAUUAGGUGAUAAAAUUAUUGUAUUUUCUGAUCAUACAGCAUUGAGAUACCUAAUAACCAAGAAAGAUGCAAAAUCGAGGCUGAUAAGGUGGAUAUUGCUCUUGCAAGAAUUUGAUAUGGAGAUGAGGGAUAAAAGUGGUUCGAAGAAUUUGGUAGCUGACCAUUUAAGUCGCAUAUCAGUUGGAGAAGAGAACGUGCCAUUGAAAGAUACAUUCCCUGAUGAACAAUUAUUUUCUCUAAAUUCUAAAUUGCCUUGGUAUGCUGAUUUAGUUAAUUACCUAAUAACUGGCAAAUUACAUGCAGGUUGGCCCAAAGCAAAAAGGGACAAGUUAAAGAGCGAUGCCAAAUACUACAUAUGAGACGACCCGUAUCUGUAGAAGCAUUGUGCUGAUCAUGUAAUGCGAAGGUGCGUAAGUGAGAAUGAAUAUCACUCAAUCUUAACUUUUUUUCAUUCUUUUGCCUAUGGAGGUCACUUUGGACCUAAGAAGACAGCUCGUAAGGUGUCAGAGAGCGGGUUCUACUGGCCUUCACUAUUCAAAGAUGCCUACAUGCUCUAUAAGUCAUGUGAAAGAUGUCAAAACGUAGGUAAUAUUUUUCGUAGAGAUCUGACGUCUCAAAUUUCAAUGUUCUUUGUUGAAAUUUUUGACGUAUGAGGGAUUGACUUUAUGGGCCCUUUUCCCAUGUCGUUUGGUUUCUUUAUAUCAUCUUGGCACUUGAUUAUGUUUCCAAAUAAGUGGAAGUUAAAGCCACCCGGACUAAUGAUUUAAAAGUGGUUUCAGAUUUUAUUAAGUCCAAUAUUUUUGUGCGUUUUGGGAUGCCAAGAACCAUUAUUAGUGACAGGGGGAUGCAUUUCUGCACUAAUACCAUAACUACGCUAUUUCGAAGGUAUGGUGUGCUCCACAAGGUCUCAACAUCAUACCACCUUCAAACCAAUGGCCAAACCGAAGUAUCAAAUCGAGAAAUCAAGUCUAUCUUGGAAAAAAUGGUGUGACCCGAUAGGAAGGAUUGGAGUCAAUAGUUGAAAGAUGCACUUUAGACCUAUUGGACGGCGUAUAAGACUCCUAGAGGGAUAUCACCCUAUAGAUUAAUAUUCGGGAAGCCGUGUCACCUCCCAAUGGAAUUUGAGCACAAGGCCUUUUGGACGAUAAAGCAGUGUAAUAUGAAUUUAGAGGAGGCUGGUGCUCAUCGAAAGUUGGACUUGCAAGAAUUGGAGGAGAUCCGGAGCAAAACAUAUAAGAAUGCAUUAAUUUACAAGGAGAGGAGUAGGGCGUUUCAUAACCAACAAAUCUCUAGGAAGACCUUUGAAGUUGGUCAAAAGGUUCUCCUAUACCAAUCCAAGUUUAAGCUGUUUCCAGGUAAACUGCGUUCCAGAGGGAUUGACCUUUCAUUGUUACUCAUGUCUUUCACUAUAGUGCAGUAGAAAUCCAGAGCACUAAGAUGGCCAAAAAGUUUGUGAUGAAUGGACACCGUCUCAAACACUAUUACGAGAGCUUUCCAAGUGAAGAAGUGAAGGUGAUACAUUUGGACACACCAAAUUGCUCCAAUUGCUAACAUCUAGCCAUGUCUAACCAAAGACGUUAAAGAAAAGCGCUUUUUGGGAGGCAGCCCAAUUUCUUUUAGUUGUUGUUCAACUUUAGUUGAUAACUUCAAUAUGUUUUCUUAAAGUUUUUCCAAAUUUUUUAUUUAAUUUUUUGUUUCUGAUGAUUAGUAGGUGUUCCCCUGACAUAACGCACCAGCGUCAACAGGGUGCCUGGUAAUGUGCAACUCCCCAGGUGCUUCAUCAGAAAGGUUUCAACCCUCAUAACGUGCCUGCGUCAAGUCACCUAAAGAGCUCUUCCUUCGAUCUUGGAGCGGACUGACCGACAUGACGCGUCCAUGUCAACAAGGCACGAGGUAACUUUUAAUUCAACGACUCUUUAUUAGAAGGGUUCUUGCCUUCAUGAUGUGCCCGCGUCACCUGGGCGCGUGGUAAUGUGCAAUCCUCAAAGUUUUCAUCAGAAUGGUUUCCACCCUUAUGACGCGUCGGUGUCAUUUGAUUCUUCAUUUAAAUUGCUGCGUUGUUCGGGAAUUUUCUGAUAUUGUGGUUCGAUAAAUUCUGCAUUUGACUAUUGAAUUGGGAGACACCGGUGGCCCUUGAUUUGGUUGUUGAAACCGGUUGAAUUAAAUUGCAUUGUUGGGAGUGUCGCGCCCUAUUUUUUGGGAAAAAAAUGAAAUUACGAUUACGGGUUUAUAAAAAUGAAUUUUUUGAUUGAUUUUGAUUGAAAACAAGUAUUUGAUUUUUAGAAAAUAAAUAAAGAAAAUGGGCCUAAAUGGGACUAAAAGUGCGAUGAUUUUGACCCAAAAAUAAUAGUUUAAAAAGGUUUUUAAUAAAAAAUAGAAGCUGCCACUUGGUAUUGAGUUAAGGUGUACCAAGUCACCUAAAAUGAAUUUUCAAAGAAAAAGUAGAGAAAACCCUUUUUAAACGACUUCAAGUCUGCAAAAAUCAAGAGAAAAGGGGUCGGGAUUCACAUUUGAAAAAAGGGAAGGCAAUGAUAAAAUCCAAGGCACCCUUUCAACCUAACCAAAGCCAGUUGCGUGAUUUAUUCAAAAAUUUUUCUUAUUUUAACCUAAGAAUUUAUCACAUUUGGAUGUCACUAUAUGGAUGCAAAAUCUAAAUCUAGGAGGAUAUCGGGGGGGGGUCGGAAUAUCUCUUCAAAACUUGAUUGGUGUAAAUCACAUUAAUUGUAAUGCCCAAGAGUGACUCUUCGAAGAGGUCACGAACAUGCAAAAUAUGAGACUCGAAAGAAAGAAAAGAAAAGAAAAUAAUAAUAUGCAUGAUCUAAAGGAAUGCAUCAUAACGGGUGUGGGGACUAAAAUUCGUGACUCAAUUUUUCCUUUUAUAAAGGGAAUACGAGCGUGCUAAAGGUAGAAAAGUCACACUCGUCCAUAUCCCAUAUUCGAGGGAUAUUUCCUAUCUAAUCAAGCAAAAAUGUACUAACCUAAUUCUAAUUUUUAAAUGGAAUGCAAGUCUUAAAAUGCCAUGUUCCACAUAUAGAGGUAAGAAAUAUACAUAUAGGGAAAAUAUGGAUAAGGGAUGUACAUAAGGGGAAAAUAUCAUGCAAAAAUGGUAAGGACCCUAAAAGAUAGAAAAUAUGUAUGCAAAUGUAAUGAUUAUCAUACAAACAUGAUUUAGCACGUGAAUGGUCCCUAAGGGUCUAGUAUUGGACUACCCCAUGUCUAUAAGUUCUCACUAGCGUUGGACUAGUGAGAAAUUAGAAAGGAGGGCUACAACUAGUAUUGGACUAGUGUGGAAUCGGGAAAAGAGGCCACAACUAGCGUUGGACUAGUGUGGUGGCAUCAUGCAUUUAUUACAAUCAAAUAAAUCAUGUAAAACAAGCAAAUAAACAUAUAAAUUACAUAUAGCACAUAGCACAUAAGUAUGAUAUCUAGAUGCAAGACCCUAAGAAAGCGAGUAACACAUAAACACACAAGUAUGUAAAGCACACAAAGCAAAUAAAGCAAAUAAAGACCUAACUAUUACAUUCGAAGGGCCCUAACUACAAUCUAAAAGGGGAAAGAAUUAAAUAAAAUGAAAUAAUAACCUAACUAUUAGAAUUUUGGCAUUUAAUGCCUCUUAAAUAACCAAAAUUAAAAAAUGAAUAUACAAGAUUAAAACCAAUAAAGUGAAUAAAUAAAUAAAAUAAAGUAAAGAAACACAUUCAAAAGUAUGCAAUUACACACAUAAAAUCACAUAGAAACACAUUGGGUCAAAUAAAAUCAAAAUAAAGAAAUAGAGCAUACCUCCUUUGAAUUGGUUGUCUAAUGAAAUGUAAUUUUUUUAUUUAACCUUCAAAACAAUAAAAUGAUCAAGGCGUCACUUUAAUUAACAAAUAAUCACAAGAAGUGGAAAUAAAUACGAAAUUGAAUUAAUCAAAUCAUUUAAAUAAAAAUAAACAACCCGUAUUCAAUAAAUUAAAACAAAUAAGGACCCAAUUGAAAUAAUUAAAGAAGUUUGAGGGGUCAAAUUAUUAUUAUUACAAUAUAUUAGGGGUCUAAAUGAAAAUAAUAGAAUUAAGGUUUAAGAUAAAGUCUAUCAAAACUAAAUGCUAAAAUCUAUAAAAAUGAAUGAAAACCCAUUUGCUAUAGUUAAACAAUAAAAUUACCACAAAAUUCUACUAAAAUUCAAAUCAAGAUUAUAAAUCUAUCAAAAAAAUUGUUAAGCCUUCAAAUUCAUCCUAAAAUUCACUAAAAAUCUAUUCAAAAACCCAUUAAGUCAUAUCAAAGAAAAAUAACAUUUAAAAAGGACCAGAUUGGUUGAAUUUUUCAAUUUUAUGGGCCAUAGUAGAAUAAGGAGAAAGUUGAGGGGUCGGGCUGCAAUUUUGGAAAGCUUUUCAUGCAUGCUUCGCAGAAGCUAUUCUUCUUCUUCACUGUUUCGGGAGAAUUCUUAGUUUAUGAUGAAAAAAAAAGGCAUUCUACAACUGGGGCGGUUUUUCGAGAUUGUUCUUGAAAUGGGGUCUUCGCAUUCAUGGAAUGCGAGCUCGGUGCUCGCAUUCCGCAAAUGCGAGGUCUGUUAAAAAAAAAAAGACCAGAAAAGUGAGUCAAAGAAGCAGAAUGCAAUAUCGAAACAGUGCUGUCGAACAGCACAACAAAGAAAACAGAGUUGGGUUCUGCACAUCGAAGCAUCCAAAGACCGGAGCUGGCCACCAUUUGUCCUAUUUUGUGCUGCCCAAACGCCGGACGGUAGAAAUAGGAAGAGCGGCGCCACACGGCUGAGCGGCGCCACCAUCUCCGUUGUUCUGCUCCGCCGGAAGCCACGCCUCAUUCUCUUUCUGCCUCGCUGAAGCAAGCCCUCCAGAUUGCAGCCGGUUUUCAGAGCUUCUUCAACCACCAGAUUACCGACCCAUUUGCCCCUUUGCCCACCCACUGCCGCCCCAUUGCCGACCCAACAUUUGCCAACAUUGCCGUCCCAUUGCGACUGCCAAACAGCAUAAAGGUGAGCCUUUUCCAUUUGCAAUGCCUCACUUAUAGCAUUUUAAGUUUAAUUAAUACUUGAAUCCAACGGCAAGUUCAGAUUUGUUGUGAAAUUUCGGUUUAAAUUUGAUGUGGGUUGUGCUUAUUUUUGCAAUUUUUGUGGUGGAUUUGAGGAUAUACGUUACAUUUUUUGAAUUCUUGAAAUUUUUCUGUUUCCAAUUUGUUGUAGUUGCGCUAAUUGUGUCCGUGUGGACAGUGGAGCUGGAAAAAGAAGGAAGUAGUUUUUUGACAAAUAUUGCAAAAUAGUUUAAAGCUAAAACCCCUUUAAGGAAAAAGUCCAUUUAAUUGUUUCAACUAUUUUUUGAAAUUUUUUUAAAAUUAGAAUGAAAUUUAGGUUACACUUAUUUUCUGUACAUCUAACUCUAAAAAGAAAAGUGGUGCUAGUCUCAUUUUAUUGUCUACGGCGGAUAGAGAGCUAGUGGUACUACGAACGGAUUGGUGUUCAUGAUUUUUUCGAUAAGGCAUAGGAAAUGACUAAAUGUUUAAAUAACGUUUUAAAAAAAAAGUCUAUUUUUUUGUGUUGAAGAAGAUAAAACAAAAAAAAAAAGAAAAAAGGGGCAAGUUCCAUUUAAAAUAGAAAAUGGGUUCUAAUUAAGGGAAUUAAACAUGAGAUGCAAAUGAGAAACGAAUUUCUCUUAGGCAGCUAUGGGUAAAUCGUACAUUAGAGUUGUGUUCCUAGAGAAAAUUUUAGAAAAAUAAGGGCCUUGAACUAAAAUGGAAAAAUAAAUUUUGCUAAAAUUACAACAUAUAUGUUAGUGUGACCCAAAAUUUGAUGCCGAGCAUUGAAGUUGUCUUGGAUGCAUUUCCGUUGCUUUAACAGUCUUAGCAUGCCAUUUAAUUAUUUUUUGUAUACAUUUAGACACUAUUGUCGUACUUUAACAAGUGUAUAUAAAUAUAUUUGAUUAAUACUUAUUUUUCACUAAUGUAGUUAUCAAAGCCAUUUACAAUAAUUAGUACUUUAAUACGCCCUGUAUAAUUUGAAAUGAUAAUAAUUACAAUAAUUAGUACUUUAAUAUGUCUUGUGUAAUUUAAAAUGAUAAUAAUUAAUCAUCUCUGACUAUUUUAAUGUACAAAAUAAUUCUCUAAAAUGCUAAGCACAUAGUAGACAAAGUCUCUAAUACUCAAUGUGGGGGCAAGGGUUAUGUGCCAAAUUUGGGUGGCAAGUGCGCACUUUUCAGUUUUUGUUUUUAAAAUCUAUUUCGCAACUGUUAUUUUUGGUUGAAACACUAUCUACAUUGGACAUUGUAUGUUUUGCAAUUGGAGUUUAGAAAUUUUAUUGACAUUAUGUAGUUUAUAGAUUGGAGCUUUUGAAUUUCAUGGAUAUUUGGAUUGUUUGACAGGGAGUUUUAGCCCAUUUAUAGGGGAGACUCUGUCGAAUUUUUUGUAGAGCUUUCUUUGUGAGGGCAACUGACUAUUACAAAUACAUGUCGCAACUUCUGUUUUUUUAAAUGAUUUUUUGUUGUAAAUUAUUUCUUCAUAUAGGUACAUACAAGGUUGGUGACACAAGCUUGGGAGGUUUAGAGGCUGGGGUUGGUACCUCUAAGAUCCUGACCACAGAAGUUGGCUAGAUUCGAAUUUGAUGCAAGUCAUUCGGUAAUAUAUUUUAUAUUACAACUUUUGGAUUUUUUACGUCGAAUUGAAAUAGUAUGUUUUGUUAAGCUUCUGGAUGUAGAAGAGGAAGUUAGAGCACGUUAACAGAUUUAUUUUAAGUCGAAUCGAUGGAUUUAAAGUUAAAUCUAAUCUUGUAGUCUAUAUUUACAAUAUAUGCAUGUCGAGGUUAGGAAAAUAACAGAUAAUGCUGUGAAGUGGCCUUUGGAUAUAGCCAAAAAAAUCUUAUUGUGUUGUUGAUGAAAAUAGCAUACGUAUAUGAACAUAGAUCUUGUAUAGCUAUAUGGAUGUGGAGCCCAAAAAUUGAUUAAAUAUUCUUCCAAAUCGCAUGUCAAUCAACUCUCUUUUGCAAUUCUUAGGCGGCUCAUAGUUGUUAGGGUUCUAAAAUUUGCCUUGAUUAUCGCUUUAUAUUUUUAAUCAAAAUAGUAAUCCUGCCAAUAAUUGUAAAAGGUAAAACAUGCAAGAUUUAAUCGCUAGAUAUUUGAUUUAAUUUUUUUUCUUUUCCUUUUCAACUACCAAACAAAUAACAUGCUCUUCAUAAAAAUAACUUAUAUAAUUUUUCUAAAUAACAUUGCGUUAUGGAAUUUCUAAAAUUACAGUUGAAAUUGUAACAGAUAUUAAUGACUAUUAAUUAUUAGAUUCUUAUAACUAAUAUUCAUCGGUGUCAACAAAUAAAUACGAUUCAUUAAUAACAAAGGAAAAUUAGAAUUUGAUAAAAAAAAUUUAUUUGAUAAAAAAGGAAAAAAAGUUAGUAUUUUAUUCAUAAAAUAUAGUCAACACAUUACAUGUUAACAAUUUCAUUCUAUUUUUACAUUGAUCUAUGAAAUAGAAAGAACUUUGCAUGUGUACUUUUUCCACCAUUUAAAUGUAUUAUAAUAAAAUAACGUAUUUCCAACCUUACAAUUACCAAUUUUUUUUAAUAUAAAAGAAAUAUGCAUGUCUAGUAAAUUAUAUUAAAAAGAUUAUUAUGAAUAUGAUUUUUUUUUAGAGCACAUAUUUGAUGACUUUAGGCACGUGUAAGUUUUAAAAUAAAAAAAAAUUUAUUCCUCUGCUAAUUACAGAUUUUUAAAUAAAAUUUCUCUAACAUUUCUCCGAAAUAUAAGAUUUUAGUAGAGAUUUUAAAAUAAAAUUUUACUACCGACAGCAUUUUAGUAAAGGCAAAUUCUACAAAACAAACAACAUUUACAUUUUUUUUGGAGCUCAUAAAUUUCAUUUUAAAAUUUUUUUCUAGCAAGUUUGAAUUUAAUUUUCUGAAAGUCAUACUUAUAAAUGCGAAAUCUAACAAAAAAAUUAAAUACAAUUUUUGGAGGUCAAAUUUAUCAAAUGCGAGCUAUUUGAAAAAUAAAAAAAAAAAACAUUUAGGAACUCGCAUUUAGCUCUACUAUUUUCUGGAAAAAAUUCUCUAGCUCCCAAAAAAAAAAGCAAAAAAAAUUAAAUUAUACUUAGUGUGGGAGCUCUAUUGAGCUCGCAUUCGCGGAAUACGAGCUCUAUUGACCUCCGAAAUUUUUUUUUUUAAGGAAUGCGAACGCGAAUGCGAGAUCUUUAAACAUUUUGUUUCAAUACAAAAAAAUCUCUGCCUCCGAAAAAAAAAUAAGCACAAAAAUUUUACUUAUACUUUCUAGGCUCUAUGGAGCACGCAUUUCAGAAAUGCGAGCUCUGCUGAGCUCGCAUUCCGCGAAUGUGAAGACCCCCCGACGGAUUCUCUCACCAAAAUCACCCCUUUUAUAGAAUUUUUUUAAAAUUCACCACAAAAUUGGAAAUUUCUCUCGCUGUUUCUGGGUUCAUCCGAAACAAGCUUGGAAUCUUAUGCAGCAAUUUCAACAACAAAUCCAAUCUCAAGUCCUUGUCAAAUUCCCAAAACCUUUGUUGCCCGAAGCCCUUUUUGGUUUUCUUUGCUCCUCCCCCGCGCAGCCUUCCCUUCCUUGUUUCCUCUCUACUGCCCGAAAACUCUCUAGCUUUCCUUCUUGCCUUUGCCCGUAACUUUUCUUUUCCCUCAAUCUCCUAUCUCUUCUUGGUUUCUCUUUCUGGUUUCCUACCCUUUCUCCUCCAGCCCGUCACCCUCAGCUCUCUCUCUCGCUUGACUUUUUCUUUCUUUCCUCCGACCCUUUCUUUUUCUUUUCUUGUUUCUCCUUCUUGCUCUUGCCUUGUUGCCCAUGGCCUAUCCCUUUGCCAGAUUUCCCUCUUUUUUCCAGAAUUUUCCUAAGCCUCCAAGUGUCUUGCCACCUACCCCGCUUUGCAUGUGUUGUCAACCAAGAAUGAGGACAUUUGUCCUAUUUGCAUGCACUCCACUUGUCUAAUAUCCUCCUAAUACACUUGUUUAAUGAUCCUCUAAUACACUUAUCUUUUUAUUUUCAUUUAUUUAUUAUAUAUUUUCCAAAAACAAUUUAGGUAAACAAAAUAAAUGUUAAUUCCUAAUUGCAAAUGCAUUGCACAAUUUUCAUUUAUCUUAAAAAAAAUUGAGUCUAAAAGGAUUAAAGACAAAUUUUGAAUUUUUUGUGAGAAUUUUUUUCUUUUUUUUAGAAAUUUAAUACAAUCAUACCUUAAAAAUAAAAAUAAUAAACCUAAUUUAUAAAAAUAAAGAAAAAUGAACAUUAACUAUCAAUCAAAAAAAUAAAAUAAAAUAAAACAAGAAUAAAGCUAAUAUUGAAUAAAAUAAAUGAAAUUUUAGUGUCUACAGGGAGUAAUCUUCCUAUUGACUGUGUUGCGAUUUUGGUUGGAUAAAUUGUGCAAUAAUCUGUGCUUAUUGAGUUGAUUGUUGCAUUGGAUGUAGUUACAACCUCUAGAUUACUUGCUUCAUAUAUUUGGUGAAAAUUCUGUUUCUCUUGGUGAUUGUGCAUGGUAGACACUAUGGUUAAACAAAUAUCCACUUCUAAAUCUCGAACCCUUAGACCUCAUCCCUCUACACCCCAACCUACCAUUCCUGUGAAUGAACCUACCAACCAAACUUUCUCUUCAGGUGUAUAAAAAUGCCUCGGUAGGGGUAAAGGAGUCCACGUGGCUAUACCCACACACUUUGAAGGUCAUUUAAACUUCAGUAAGGCUACCGAUAAGCAGCGAUAUGCUAUGUGUUGUUAGCGGCGAAUUAUCCCCUGCAAAAGUAAUGAGAAGCUUACCAUGGAUGUACUGCGUAUAAGGGAAGAGGUUGAACGGAUGUUUACCGCCAUUGGUUGGCGAUCUUAUCUUGAUAUUUUUUGCGCCACCUUUGUAGAACUGGUUAAAGAGUUUUACUCUACUUUUGAGUUUGACCUGCCUACAGGGUAUACUGUAGAUACCCCAAAUGUGAUUCACUUUCGACUAAUGGGUCAAGAGUUCCAUUUCUCCAUUACUCAAUUCAAUUUGGCAUUUGAAUUCAUUACUCGGGAAUAUGCUGAGACUAGGAAGUACACUGAGAGUGGUUGUGACUACAAAGAAUCAUUUUAUUCUCACUACCUCGAUAUUUGGAAGGAAAUGUCUGUUGAAAGCGACCGUUAUAACCCUUCUAGAUCCAGGAGUUCUUAUCUUAAGGAACCCAGUUCCCGAUAUAUUCAGCGCUUCUUAGCUUACAGUUACUCGGGUCGCAAGGAUAGUUCCGGUAUACUUUCGCGCCCUGAGUUCUUCUUUAUCUGGUGUAUGAAGAACAAUAUUAAGGUAAAUUUGGGGUGUUGGUUGGCAUCUCAAUUUAAGGCAGUUUUAGCCAAGAAAAACAAACCCUUGAUACUCAGGUCGUAUAUCACACGCCUGGCAAUCCAGUUAGGGGGUUCUUAAUCUCCAAAACCACAAUCUCCAUUUGGCCUUUGACAUGAAAUUUCUGGAUGACGAUUGUCUAUUAAAAAUGGGAGUUAUAAAGCGGGUUGAUGAUACCCUCUGAUUUACACUCUCGGGACUCAUUCGAACACCAGGUCACUGCCUCUCUACACGAGCAGGGUCCUCUUCAGCUCGUGGAUCUACUAAUGACACUGUCGGACCUUCCUCUUCUGUACCUCCUCCACUGCUGGCCUCCGAUUCUGAGUGGCAAUACCUGCGAGAAUAGGUUCAUCAUAUGGACAAGUGGGUAAUGAAUAUUGCUGAUCAGGUGGCCCAGAUGUCUCAGAAUUUGGCUGCCUACCUCCACCAUGUUGGCUUCACUCUGCCAUUCCCACCUAUUCCACAGUCGGUUGGGACCCUCCACUACGUAUUCGGGGAAGUUUCAUUGUCCUAUUUGCUUUAUUUGCUUUAUGACCUCCAUUGAGGACAAUGUUGGAUUUAGGUGUGGAGGAGCUGUGGUACAGCUAGUAUUUUUAGUUUUUAGAUGUUUUUCCUUUAUUUCUUGUUAUUUGUUCUAUUUUUCAUUUAUUUUCUUUUCAUUUUUAUUAGUAAUUAGCAUUUCUGUGACUGCCAAGGAUUGAUGAUGGUUGGCUGACUCUAAUUCUCCUAUUAUCAAAUUUUAGUAAUAAAAGUGUAUCAAGUUAAUUUGGUUAAAUCCAAUAUAUCUCUUUGGUGAAUAUCGAUGCUUUUGUGAUGCUUACAAUUUUUGGUUAACUUUUCUUAGCAUAGAGAAUAACUGCUUGACAUUUUACUUGCAAAUUGGUCUAAUUAUUAACCUUAGUUCUCCAUGUAUGAGGAAAUGAGGCUAGCUGCUAUUAUUUUAUGUGAUAUCUUGAGUUAUUUUGCUGCCUAGUUAUAAAUAAAUUUGGCUGUACUCUGCUAGUUAUUACUGCUAAGUAACUAGGGGUCUACACCAAAAAUGUUAAUCCUUGCGUCAAAAAAUAGUAAUUUCUAUGAGUACGUGGUCUUAUAGCGACUACAGCUGAGUAAUCGGGUUCUUUCAUCUGACAAUGUUUGAGUUCACGUCAAAAGGUUCUAAUGGUUAGAGACUAAAUCUAUUAUUAUUACUAUCUAGUCAAAAAUAUAAAAAAUGUGAAAGUUGUGUAAAUGUGUGAUUAAAGUUAGCCUGUUGAUCUAUGCGUCUAAUGUUGAGAUUUUGGUUAAUAGUUGGACCGUUUACUGAUAAAUGUUGAUCGACCAUUCCUUUUUCUUAGAAUAGUUAGCCAUAAAUUGGAGGAGCUUGCGGUUUAGAAGCUAACCGAGGUGAUGUUUCUUGGAUCUUGACCAUUGAUGCUUGAUAUGUGUUUUUCUCGGUAUCUUGGCAAUAAGAUAGAUGGAGUGAUAGCCAUUAUCAGGAAUUGAUGUUGGUUUGCUAUUCUCAUGCUUGAGGACAAGCAUGGUCUAGGUGUGCAGGGAAUUGAUAAGUCGCAAUUUUUUCAUUUAUUUUAUAAUUAAUUUCCUCCUAUUACCUUUAAUUUCCUCCUAUUACCUUACCAAAUGUGCAUUAAUUAGCAGAUUCUAUUCAUUUUUGACAUUUGUGCUUAUUGUAGGGAGUUGGAACAAAAUUUUUAUGGAAUUUUGUAUAAGGUAUUUUUGACAUUUUAGGUGACUCCAUUAAGAAUGAUCAUUCCCGUCACUUUGACACUUUAAUCCAAAUCAUGAGGGGGUUAUCUAUAGCUUUUGAAACUAUAGGGGGAUUAUGUAAAAAAAAUGCUAAACUACAAGAGGGUAAAGUGAAAUUUGCCCUUUUACAUUCGAGUAACUAAGGGCCUUUUUUAAUUUGAGAAAAAACGGCCCAUCAACCAACUUAAUUAGAGUAGCACACAAUUAGUUGUAAUUGUUGGGUUUUGAUAGAAUUCAAAAUCUCAAAAAAGUGAGCAACCCAUAAAAAAAAGGGUCCAAGCUCCAAGUCAAAAUUUAAAAACUGGACUUGACCGGUUUGGCUGAUUCAUUUGGCUUCACUCCGGUACAAUGGUUUUGACUGAUUUUUUUAACUUUUAUGGUUUCUCAUAGAAUUGGAUUGAUAUCAGGGUCAAUUCACAGUUUGAUCGAUUGAAUUGGGCAGUUCGAUUUGGUCCUUAAAACACUACAUGUGAUUUCAAAAGUUAUGCAUAAUCUUUUGCAAUUUGGACUUAAUGUCAAAAUGACAUAAAUAUCCCACUAUAAUGGAAAAUACGAAAAUAUCGAUAUUACCUUUGUUCAAAAAUCAAAAUGACUAAAGUGAUUAAAAUAUAUAAACAUAAUAUGUAUAACAUUUUAAUCACUUAUGAUUUUGUGUUUUAUCAUAUGAUCCCUAAUGGUUUAGUUUUUUAUCACAUAAUACUCUUGUGAUUUUCAAAAUAGAUAGAUAAUCUCCUUAUAGUUAACAAAUAAUUUUCAAAUUUACAUAAGGAUACUUUUGAUAUUUUAGUUGAUUCCGCUAUGAAAUGCAAAUUAUAACAUUUUGAUACUUUGGUUCAAACCAUCAGAGAAUUAUGCAUAACUUUUAAAAUCAUUGAAAAAUUAUGUGAAAAAACGCUAAAUCAUAAAGGACUAAAGUAUAAUUUAACAAGGAAAAGAAAAAUCUCUUUUCUAACGGAAUAAUUGGAUGUUCAGCGUCAGCCUUCACAUUUCCAACUUCUCCGAUGUUAUCUUUAAACUACCUUUACAUUAGAAAAACAUUUUGAGAUGUCAUAAUUGCGGAGUACUGUCGGGUUGACUGUUCCCAGUUAGUAGAAUCCGUGAGAGGAACGUAGAUAAUAGUAGAAAUUUCUUUCGAAAUUUGCCAACCGUGCUACAAAGAAACACAGUCAGUCAGUGGGACAUGCAGCAAUUACCUCAUGCUGUUAACAAAACAAAACAGAACAAAAAGAUGUACGAGCAAGUAAAUUAUCAAUUUAUUAUAAGUAAAUUAGAUAUAACCUUCCGGUGAUUUUGUCUAUUAUCACAUGAUCUUUUUAACAUUUCAAAAUUUUCAUUUCACUCCACUAUGAUUUUAUGUAAAGUAAAAAUUUGAUGAAAAGUAGCCUAUAUAACGCCGUUAAUUGAAAUACCAAUAGUGCCUUUAUAUUAAUACUAAAUCAAUCAAUGACUUAAUUGCCUUAUAUAAAGUAUAUGGGGAUUUCAUGGAGAAAUACAAAAAUUAUGGAGGGUAAAAUGGAUAUUUAUACAAAUCAUAAGGGAAUUAUAUGGAGAUUAAAAUUUUAUCACACAUUUUUAGAUUGCAUUUGAUAUAAUGCCGUAAUUAAUUGUGUAUUCCGUUCUUUUUUCACUUUAUAUAAAACCAUUGGGGGAUUAUGUAGCUAUUUUAAAACCUAAGAGGGAUCAUCUGGCAUUGUGUAAAAUCAUACGCAGUUAUAAGUAAUUUAUUCAGUUAUUAUUCAUAAAUUCGGAUUAGAAAGCACUUUACAUGAUGCUGUUGUAAACAAAGCAUAUAAUGACGGAUUAAAUGCGAAGUUGUAAUUUUGGUGUGUAUAUUAAUUUUGCGGCAUGAAGCAAAUAAAAAUCUUCACUUCUUCUAUACAUAAUAAAAUUUCAAUAAUUGCUUUGGCUGCUGGAAUCCAAGCACCAGCAAUAAUAGUCAGACCUCGAGCUCUCUAGCAAUCCUCUCACGCUCGUUCUGCCGCCAUGAUGCAAAAUUGUUGCGCUUCUACCGGUCAAAUGCAAGAGGGUAGUCCUCCAUAUAUAUCGUGAUACUGUGAUCUCAUUCUCAUCUAAAGCCACAUUGUCGCAACACAGCCUUCAUAGGGAUCUUGCGGGCCCAUUUGAACGUCAUGGCUGCCACCUAAAAAAAAAAAAUAUUCACUAGGAGAGUCCCAAAAAAUGAUGAUGUCCUUCUUGAUGUAAUGUACUACUAAUAGCCAAAGUUAAUUAAGUUACUUACCAAGGUAUGCUUUUGUCAGAUACUUGAGCGACUUGCUAAGGUUUCUUGUUUUCAUAAGUGGUGGAUAUUUGGCCGUGUCCCUGCCAAAAAAUUUCAUAGGUGUCAAAUUCUUUCUCUGCACUUGUUUCAACGACAUUGCAUCCCUCAGAAAUUCUGGUUGUAUUCCAGUUGCUUCAUACCUGCAGAAGAAUUUUUCACACUUCAAAGUCAGCCUCUAGAGUGCAAUUCACUUUCUAUGUGCCUAUAUAUGUAGGAUGUGAAUUUGGACAAUCUUUUUGUUGCGUCAUUACCUAUCGUUUGUGACGGGAAGUUGUGGUUUGACAUAUGUAUGAAGGAUUUUCCUUUCAUACUCAUCGAUGGGGCAAAACUCUUGCACACAGAUCUAAAGAACCAUCACUGCCACCUCCAACCAUUUUGCUGACAGGUGUCGAACCUGUGCAAUAAUAAUUACUAAAAGUCCUAAUUAUCACCACAAUUAAUUAUAGAGCAAAUCCAAGUACUGGAGCAGGGACCCUAGGUAUGCAAUGGGUUACUUGAUUCACCCUGUUCCCGAAGAGUUUGCUUGAUUCGAGAUACCAGAUUCGUCUAUAAAAAUAUUAAUUUUGCGUACAAUGGCAAGUAGGGUCGAUUCCACAGGAAACGGGUAGGAAGUUAUUUCUUUCCAAGUCAAUAGAAUAAAAUUGGGGGAUAAUGGGAUGGAAAUGAAAAUAAAAUAAAUAAAAUUCAACUGAUAAUUCCACAAGUACAAUUUACUAAAAAUAGCAGUUAAUAAAAUUCUACUUAAAGGAUCAACUUCUCAGGCAUGGGCCAGUUAAAUGAUCAUUGAUGCAAAGAUAUUUCAUUCGUUCGUUACUAGGUUGGUUAUAGUCAUCAACAAGCUCUGACAACCAGUUCUUCCUUACUUUUUCGACAGUCAAGGUACGACCAUUGACUGCUUUCCUAAUCAGAAAACAACCCUAGGUACGACCGUAGGAAUUUAAUUAUCCAGUUGCAUUAAAGCUAGAAGAACCCAACCCCAACCAAUAAACACGCUAAGAGGGUUUAUUUAGAUCAGGUCUUACAUUUCCCCAACAUAAAGCCAAUUAUGGUGGUUGCCACGAGUUGUCAACUAAACGAACAAUUAUGGAUUCAAUUUAAUUAACGUGGCAGUAGGCUAUUAUAUUAAAUCAAAUACCCGGCCGUUGAUAUUCAAUUAAUAAAAUACCCAUGAAUAAUUAAUUCAGGAAAUGCACGAAUAGCAACAAAUUGGAAGAAAUAAUGAAAAUUCAAUUAGAUCUCACAGAUAUUAUGGACCGUGCAUUCGCGUCGACCUUUGGAUAGAGGAGAAAACUAGCCGCUCCUCAUCAUAUGAACUUUGCGUGAUUCGAUUGAUAUCAUCCAUACAAUUGUCCAAGAAUUAAUUGCCAAGGAAUUGGGAAAAUAAUGAGGAGGUAGACGAGAAAGUGUUAUCUCUCCUUUAGAAUUGUCUCAAGCAAAAGAAACGAAUUCCAGAGUCAAAGUCGCCUAAAGCAAAAAGCUAGAGAAAAGAAGAAAAGCUCCAACGUCUGACCAAGAGCCGAAAAAAAGGAAACUGAAGCUAAUGUCCCUAUUAGACGUGAAUCUGGCCUAUUGUAAUUGUUUUUCUAUUUGAAGCCGCCGCCAGUGGAAGUCAGAUCAGGAGCAAGCUUUUUCUAAGGGCUCCAAUCCCACGCAUCUGGUCCACGUGGACCUGGUUCCUUAAUUGGGUCUCCUCCUGUUACUAAGCCUGCGGGUCCGGUUUUUGGGUAAUCCUUUACAAUUUCUGGCGUGGACACGUUCUGAAAUAAAGGGUCUUCUGGAAAUUUAUCUCAAAAGAUUACUUUCAACACCAACCACCUAUAAUUUACAUAAAUAUCAAAUAUGAGCAAAUUCUCAAUGCUUAGCACAAUGAGUAGCCAAAAUUAGGACAGAAUAAUAGUGUAAAAUGUGCUCAAUAACCACUUUAUCAUUUGCAAGCCAGGGCGACCAGCCUUGCUCUACUGUUGUCAAGCCUGAAUUCAUCUUGUACGCCCAAAUUAGCCAGACUGUUAGGAAAUUGACUUAAUUUCUUUUAAGCAAAUUUAUUAAUUUGUGCGAAAGUAACUAGUUUCGUACUUGGUUUUAGUUACUUGAAGUGGUAGUAAAAAAAUUUCCUAUUUUGUUUAGGAUUUAGAGGUUAUUUCCUAUUCUAUACAAGUUUAGAAAUUAGCAUUGUUUCCUAUUGUUAUUUGGGUUUUGACUAGAUAAUGUUCAGUAUAAAUAGGUGGGUUAGCAUACUACAAAGAGACACACAAAAGCACACAAGGGUGACAUGUAGCCUUAUACAUGGGGGUGAGAGAGGGUCCUUGGAAGAUAAGAGAUGGUAUUUAAGGGUUGGAUUUGGUUUCAAGUUGUAUUCUUAUAUAGGAUUUUUUCUCUCAUAAUAAAGAACAAAAUUUUCUCCGUGGACGUAGGUUUAAUGGUAGAGUCGAAUCACGUCAAAUAUUAUGUGUCAUUUAUCUUUUAUACUUGUGGAUUGUUUCUCAUUAAAUUAUUGUAUACUUGAUAUUUCAAUAGUCAUGUGUUCCGCGCUUCGAUUCUAACACAGACGGAAUAGAACCCCCUAAAAAAAACGGUCCAAUAUGUUUUACUACUGUUGUGUAAUGGAAAUGUGAAUAUAUAACUGUUGAGUUUAAUUGUUGAUCUAUACAUUGUUUGAACGUGAGAAUUGGCAUGUUUCCCUGUGAUUCCAGAGUGCACUGCGACUGCUCAGGACUGCGACGCAAAGGUCACAUUCCCGGCCCUUGAAAAUCCUCUCACACUCUACUUUCGGGUGCGGCCCUGAUUUUGCAAUUCAAGUCGAGCUAAACAUUAUUGUAAAAGCGCGACUUAUUUAUCCUUUCAGUUAUUAAACUACAACAAACUCUAAACUUAAUCUAUCUGGAUUACGUGUAGUAGCUUGUCCUACACAAGAAUUUGCCAAUAUAAUUGACGAGACAAAAGAUUAAUUAUAUUAUCAUAUGGUCAUGAAAUCGACCACAAUUAUAUUCUAACACAGUUUGCAGGCUCAUUUUUAGAUGCAAAUCCAAUUUCCAUCAUCUAAGCUUUGUUGACAUUUUUAACUCUCAAGUAAGCUGCACGUCAUUUUUCUCUCAACAUCCUAUUGAAGACGAUCUUGAAGCCAUCCUCUCUGUGCUAGUCUGUAGCAAAACUAACAAAGAAAAUAAAAAGGCUAUGUCAAGAAAAGGAAAAGGCUGAAGUUGAUAGAAUAGGUUAUCAAAAAUUUCUCAAGAUGCAUUCUGUAAAUGUCACAACAUUUGCAAGAUAUAGAGAAUAAACCUGUAUAUUGUUAAUGGAACUCAAAAUUCAGAGUUAUUGCAACUGGUAACAAUGAAAAGAGAAGGGAAAAAAGCUCAUUAGCCGACAAAUUAGUUUUAAUAGAAACAGGUAGAUGGGACAAAAACUUGUAGUGAUCAUAAUUAUUUCUCCAAUGUCUAAGCAAUUCAUUUGGAGAUCAAACCUGAAUUUUAUAGACAGAAGCCAAAAUUCAGAUUUGUAGGGAAUCUGGGCUAUGGUAAAGGGUGUUAAUGUAGAUGGGAGGAAAAAAAAGCCUAAUUUCAGAUUUAUAGGGAAUCUGGGCAAUAGUAUGGAAUGUUAAUGCAGAUGAAAGAUAAAACCAAAAAAAAAAAAAAAACAACUGCAUAAGGGAAGGUAAAAGGCUCAUUAUAAAAUAUACCACUGCGCCUAGGCCAAGUUGAAGUGAGCAUUAGGGUAAGUUUCACAUAACCCAUAUGCUUUUGCACAAUACUAGGUGACUCUAUUAAAGAUUAACAAUGGACAAAACAGGACACUGCAAUUGACCAAUACUCGCUCUAAAAUUGUGUGUGAUGAAAUUAUAAUAUAUUCACAUAAUCUUUGAUUUUGCACAAAUAUCGACUUAACCUUCAUAUAAUUUUGUAUUUACCAACAUAAUUCCCCCUUCUAAUUUUAUUCAAUGUCGUUAGACCCUUAAUAAUUAAGUUAGGUCAAUAUUUGCAUUUCAACUAAUGGCAUUAUAGAUAUUAUUUUUUUCAUUAAAUUUUUGCUUUACAUAAAAUCACAUUAUAUGGAUAUUUUGAAAUUUUAGGAAAUUAAUGUGGUGUCAUGGAAAAACACAUGGGUUUAUGAGUAAUUUAGCUUAAGAAUUAUUGUAAAAUCAUGAUUUAAUCAUAUCACAUAAAAUCACAUUGUAUGGAUAUUUUGAAACCUUAGGAAAUUAAUGUGGUGUCACGCAAAAGCACAUGGAUUUAUGAGUAAUUUACCUUAAGAAUUAUUUUAAAAAGCACGAUUUAAUCAUAUCAUAUCAGUUGAUAACUUUAAGAUAUUUUGUACUUAUCUAUCUUUAUUAAGGCUCUACCGUGAUUUAUGAGUAAUUUACCUUAAGAAUUAUUUUUAAAAGCACGAUUUAAUCAUAUCAUAUCAGUUGAUAACUUUAAGAAAUUUUGUACGUAUCUAUCUUUAUUAAGGCUCUACCGUGCACUAAGUUAAAAGUUCGACCAUUGCUGGUGUAUAAGAAGUGAAGCACCUAGAGCUGUUAAGUCAAUCGAGUAGCUCGAAAGCUUGUUAGAGCUCGACUCGUUAAGGCUCGAGCUCGGGUCGUUAAUUUUGGUUAACGAGUCGAGCUCGAGCUCGAGCUCGAAACAUGCUCGUUUAGUUAACGAGCCAAGUAAGCUCGGCUCGUUUGAUACUCGAGUAGCUCGUUAGAGCUCGUUAAUGAAGGGCAUAUUUGUCAUUUUAGAAAUCAAAAUUAUAAAAAUUAAAAAUUAUAGGUUUUUAAUAAGGUUAAUUUGCACGAGCUCGAGCUCGAGCUCGUGAAGCUCGAGCUCGUUUGUGAUAAAUGAGUCGAGCUCGAGCCACAUGUACAUUUAACGAGCCGAGUUUGAACACAUUUUAAAACUCGUUUUCCUAAUGAGCUCGAGUCGAGCUCGACUCGAAUUAAACUCAAGUCGAGCUCGGCAGCCAAAUACUCGACUCGACUCGACUCGAUUAACAGCUCUAGAAGCACCGUUCUUCCCUUCGACAAAAAGUUCAAAGGAUGCAGUAGUGCACUUAAUUGGUUUAGAGAUAGGUUCUCUCCCUCUAACCCGCAGAUAUUGCCUGGUUGGAAUCCGCCCUUCCCAAGUAGCGUAGGAUUAAGAUGAAAUUCUAAUGACUGGAAAAAAAAAUCUGUCUGUAUUAGGUGUAGUAACUUGUACUACAUAAUAUUCUGUCAAUAUAAUUGCUGAGUAAAACAAUACAUUAUUCAUAAUAGGUUAUCGUAUUCCACCAUAAUAAUAUUCUAAUACAAUUUGCGUGCUCAUUUUCAAUCACCUAAACAUUUUUGUCUUUUUCAACAAAUCCCUUCAAGGGAUUGGUUCUGCGGUUGACAUUAAGGGGCACUUGGUUCUUACUUUGGAAUUGGAAAGGGAAAUAGAAUAAUGGAUAGAGGGCCUACUAAUGAGGGUUUUAGUCAAUUUCUCCCAAUUUGGUUAGGAAUCAUGAAUGGCCAAAUUUUAAAGCAUGAUUUCAAUAUUUUAAUUUCCAUUGUAUUGGACCAAGUGCGCAGUAUUGGAAUUAUUGUAUUUCCAAGUACCAAAACGCCUAAACCAAGUGGCCCCUAACUUUUCUGGCAAUGUUGUAUUGAAGAUACGGUUUCCAUUAAUUGAAGCAAUCGACUUUGUAUUUGUUAAACAAGAACUUACGCGAAUGUCAAAUUAUUCAGCCUUCUCGGAUAUUAUACCAAAUCUUUUUAGUAUUAGUUUAAUUAUUCAGGAAACUACUUGUUUUAUUAUUAUUCAAUUGUGGUUUCAGAUUUUUUUUUUUUUUAUCGACACAGGGGUGUCCGGAUAAAUUCUUAUGGGGUCCGACUAAUCCCCUGCGGCCCGGACCCGGCGUCCAACCUGACCCGAACGCGAUAAGUGCGCGGAGGAACCCAGCGGAGGGUUUCGGAUUGUUAGUAUGAUUUGAUAGUUUAAUUCUAACUUCAAAUUAGAUUUGGUCAGUGAAUGGUCUUAUAUAAAGACCUUUUCUGGCUUAUUAAUGUAUCAUUCCUAUCAAUAAAGUCACCUCCCAGUUUCGUUUCGUUUCGUUUAGUCGUCUGUCUUUUCUUCGUUUGUCCACAGCAACGUUGCGAUUUAGCUCUGAUUCAUAACUUGGGUUGUUUUAACAUAUUACGUGAGGGCCUACAGGCCAUGGCAACCAGUACUCCAGUUAACAUCCCCUCUAAAAUGAAGGCCUGGGUCUAUGGCCAAUAUGGGACACCCGAAGAUGUCCUUAAAUUGGAAUCCGAGGUUGAUGUUCCUGACGUAAAUGAUGACCAGGUUUUGAUCAAAGUAGUUGCUACAUCACUGAAUCCAAUCGACUUCAAACACAUGCAUGGUUAUUUCAAGGCCAUUGAUUCUCCUCCCCCAGUAAAUACCUUUUUUCAUUUUUUUUUCAGCGAAAAUUUGUUGUUUGUUUUAUUUACUAGGUAGUCCUUGUGUAGAUUUACUGUUCUUUUUUCUUUUUCUUAAUCUGGUAGACUGUUGCUGGAUAUGAUGUUGCCGCCGUGGUAGUUAGAGUUGGCAGCAAAUUAAAGUGAAGGAAUUCGAGUUCGUGGAUGAAGUAUACGGAGACAUUCACGAGCAUGCUUUGUACCCAAAGGGAUGUGGGUCACCGGCGGAGUACACUGCAGUGGAGGAGAAGGUACUAGCUUUGAAGCCAAAGAAUUUGAGUUUUGCAGAGGCAGCAAGCCUUCCUGUUGCUGUUGAAACAGCGUAUGGGUGCCUUGAAAGCGCUGGGCUUUCAGCUGGUAAAUCACUUCUUGUUCUGGGUGGUGCCGGUGGAGUUGGAUCUUUUAUCAUUUAGGUACUACAUGUGUUUAUUUUUACCCUUAAUUUCCAAUACUUUGAAACACCCUAGAAAAAUCAGAUGUAGUUGAUCAUUUCCAAAGAAUUAGUGAUAAUUAUUGAGGAUCAAUAAACAACUACUGGUAGCCGAACAUGUGACUAUUACGCUCUUUUAGUUGCAAUUUGGAUAAAAACUAUCAAAAAUACUAAAUGUGCUCAAAAGUUGAAAAUUUGGAUAUCAAAUUUGCUUUUGUCAAAAGUUUGAGAACUAAAACCGCUCAUAUAUCAAAAUUUAAAUACCAAAACUACAUUUUUGUCAACCAAAAAAUAAAUAUGCGGAGGGUAACUACUAUGUCUUAAUCAUGUCUGUCACCUUUGCCAUCAUAGUGGAAGAACGGGUGAGAAGCUAGGUGAUUGUCUUGGACUUCUUGACUACCAUUUUCGCUACCAGAGUCAGAAUUGCUCUAGCAGAGAAAGAAGUCAAGUAUGAAUCCACGGAAGAAGAUCUAAUGAAUUUACAGAAAAGUCCGUUGUUGUUAAAGAUGAAUCCCAUAUACAAGAAAAUUCCAGUUUUGAUCCACAAUGGAAGACCUUUUUGUGAGUCCCUACUUAUAGUUUAGUAUAUUGACGAGGUAUAAAAGGGCAAAGCUUCCCUCUUGCCCUCUCAUCCUUAUGACAGAGCUCAAGCUAGGUUCUGGGCUGAUUUCAUUGACAAAAAGGUAACAAAUUAUGAUUUUUUGUUUGCAGGAAUACGUGUAUGUAAGUUCAUGAUUUCAUGAGUGUCAUGUUACCUAUUGCAGCUAGACGGUUUUGCUCGUAAAAUAUGGUCGACAAAAGGAGAAGAGCAGUAGGCAGCAAAGAUUGGCUUCAUAAAUUGCCUAAAGCCGCUGGAGGAAGGAGCAUUAGGAGACAAGCCUUAUUUUGGAGGUGACAAUUUUGGAUCUCUUGAUGUGGCUCUUCUUGGAAACUAUAACUGGUUCUAUACCUAUGAAAAAUUUGGUAAAUUCAGUACAGAAGCCGAUUGCAGAGGUGUAUGGAAAGGGACAGUGUUUCCAAGUCUCUUGCUGACCCCAUAAAGGUCUAUGAAUCUGUGUUGCUGUGGCAAAAGCUUCGUGGACAGGAGUAACAUGGAGAAGCUAGCUUAAUUACGUUGUUAUGGGGAUUUAUGUCGGACUAUUUUAAUUUCAUGAUCCAUUUGAAACUAGAGUAGAUAGAUAGAUAGAUAGAUUUGAAGGAUAAUACCUCGUUAAGUGUGAUUAUUUGGAGAAUUUUGUGUAUUUACAGUUUGCAUUACAAGUGGAUUAGGAUGUAAUAACCCUUGUGCCACAAUAAUCAAUGCUUUCGUGUUCCAAGUAGUUUUAAUUCAAUUGUAGCUCGUAGAUCAGACAAACUUUGAUGUUCAUACUAGCUUCAAAUCUAGAUCUCAAAGAAAAGCUCAGAUGGUUAACAGGUCAACUGAUGCAUAAAAUAGGCAUAAUGAAAGAUUGUUUCAGGUCAGAAACUCGUUGCCAUACCAGCAAAACCAAGUUUUAGCUUCAAUUAUUUCUUCAUAGCUCUUCUUGAAUGCAAAUGGCCCUAGUAGCAGACAGCUUGUUUACUACUGAUCCUGAUGACAAAGUUAAGAAGUAACCUAACCUGUGAUCUGAUGAAAUCAAGGGAAUUUAGGCAAUAAAAAUCAAACAUGUAAAUAAUAAAAAAGAUUUGCAAUCCAGUGAGUGCUCUAAAGUCAUAAACCUUUUCAGGAUCAGCAAGGGACUUGGACACGCUCUCCCUCUGCAUGCACCUUUUAGCCCAAGCCGCAAACUUUGGGCAUUGUGCCCCAAUUUUGAAGUUUCCACAAGUCUCAUAGGCAUGGAACCAACUGUAGAAAGGAAUCAAAGCCACAUCUACAUAUCCAAACUCUUCACCACCAAAGUAAGGCUUAUCUCCAAGUUCCCCUUCUAGUACCUUGAGAGCCUCUAUGAAUUCCUUCUUGGCUGCCUCCAGUUCUUCCCCUUUAGCGGCCCAUUGUAACUUUUAGUUAUAUUCCAUUUCACACCUAACAUUAGUUAGUCAAAAAAUUUUUCUUUUAAUUCAUGCAGAAUCUAACUCCAAAAAGAAGACUUUCUCCGGAAAAAAAAAGAAAAAUAUAAAAUUCACACAGAAAUCUUGCAGGGUACCUUCUUGUCAAUAAAGUCAGCCCAGAACCUUGCUUGAGCCCUCUCAUAAGGAUCAGAUGGUUCCAAUGGAUUCUUGUCAUGCCAUACCUCAUCUAUGUACUGGACAAUUAAGGGACUCAAGUAUUGGCUUUCCAUUAUGAAGCAAAACUGGAACUUUCUUGUGAACAGAAUUCAUCUCAAGAAGAAGCAGGCUCUUGUUCGUCAAGUCCUCUUCCUUGAGUUCAUACUUGACACCCUUCUCAGCUAGUGCUAUUCUGACCCUCAUACUGAACAUGCUCGCAUAGACACUCAACAAAAUCACCUCUUCACCAGCCAUUUUCUCAGAGGAUGGUACGAAGCAGGAGCAGGAGUUUUCUCUGGUUUGCUAGUUUUUUUUUAAAGAAAAUUGAUGGUUGACCACAAAAGAAGUGUGUACAGAUUCCUCUUUUUUUUUAAUAGUAGUACAUUUAGUCGUCAUGGAUUUUAUUAUUUAAGUUGAACGAGUACCAUGAAAUGGUACCGGAUCAUUCCUGGAACCUUCGAGCUCCACGCCCCAAGUCAGUGAGCUGUUUUUAUGAGUUGGUCUAGAGAUUUACAGAAUUUGUAAAUGAAGUGCACAUAUUUCACAAGUCAAUAACUAAGGAAUAAAAGGAAGGGAGAUAGUUGAAAAAAAAAAUUAUCUAAGGAGAUGAUAUGAAAUAUAUGGGAAAAGAAAGUAGUAUCACAUUAACAUCAUUUGGACAUUGUACGAACACUCUGCUUAACUAAAGACAGAGACAAUUGUCCUAUAAAUUUGUGGAAGAAAUUAUACAUAUAAACAGCCUAUCCAUGAAAUCCUAGUAGUAGUAGUAACAUCAUUUACUACCAGUCCAGGAUAUCAAGAAGACGACGCUAAAUCUCUUUUAUUCUCCCAAGCCAAGCAAACAAAACUAAAGGAUUCUAAGACAGAUCUACGAAGCCCACAAAAAGCAAAGCAAUCCCAAAUACAUAUUCAUGCGUAGACUUUAUUCGAUCCUCCAUGUAGGCAAAAAGUUGAAAGAGACUUUAUUCGAUCCCAAGCUUCUUCUUCAAGGACACAACAAAUUCGUAAAUCUUGUGAGGAUCAGCAAGGGACUUGGAAACGCUCUCCCUCUGCAUGCAUCUUUUGGCCCAUUCCACCAGCUUUGGACACUCCGUUUCUGUCUUGAAAUUCCCAAAGUUCUCAUAGGCAUGGAACCAACAGUAGAAAGGAAUCAAAGCCACAUCCACAUAUCCAAAGUCUUCCCCUCCAAAGUAAGGCUUAUUUCCAAGUUCUCCUUCCAAUGUUUUCAUAAUCCCUAUGAAUUCCUUCUUGGCUGCCUCCUUUUCUUCUCCCUUUGUGGCCCAGAUCCUCCUUCCACAAUCAUAAACCUGCAUUUCACCUUAAUUUUCUCAGAAAAAAAUUGAACAGAAAAAUCCCUCCUUAACAUAAUAUUUUUAUCCCAUAUCUAACUUGUCCUGCUUGCUUAUGUUGUUUGCCUAAAAUAAUCUAGUGAAAAUAGGUUAAGAAAUGCUUAGUUCCACGACUAGACGAUCUUGGUAAAGACAGUAGAAAUGCUUGCCCGAAUAACUGAUUGAACAGCAGUUGACAAAAUUAGAGUUUCCAUAAGAAAAAAAUGUUACCUUUUUGUCAACGAAGUCAGCCCAGAACCUAGCUUGAGCUCUCUGGUAAGGAUCAGAUGGCAGCAAGGGAUUCUUGUCAUGCCACACUUCAUCUAUGUACUGAACAAUGAUAAGGGACUCGCAAACAGGCUUUCCAUUAUGAAUCAGAACUGGGAUUUUCUUGUGAACAGGGUUCACCUCAAGAAGAAGUGGGCUCUUGUUAGCCAAGUCUUCUUCUUUGUUUUCAUACUCGAUGCCUUUUUCGGCCAGAGCAACUUGGACUCUCAUGCUAAACAUGCUCCCAUAUGUACCCAACACAACCACCUUGUCACCGGCCAUAUUUUCAGAUGAUAUUCGAGCAAAGCAAAAAAAAAGAAAGGAUUUUUUCGCUAGAGGUGAUGAAAAGAAAGCUGAAUUAUGGGCAAUAGUAGCAGUUUGUUAGCAACUAGCAGGUAUAAGAACCGGGGUCUUGCAUUUUAUAGUGAAUGAGAGGCUGGUGAUGGCAGCAUGAAGGAAUAAUGGUUGGUAAGUGGUAGAUUGUACCAGGACACUUGGGUCCUCUGCCCUUCAGCAAUUUAGGCCACAAGUCAAAAUGCAGGUUUUUUUUUUCAAGCAGUAGGGAUAGGAUUCAAAGGUAAGGGAAGGAAGAUUAGAACCAGAAUUUUUAAAUCUUGAGAAAAUGAAGGGUCUCUUUUUCAUGUGUUAUUAAUUAGAUCUUUUUU